ACAUCCAGAGAACUUAGCAGAGAUGCUUUGGUGCCUUCGGGAACUCUGAGGCAGGUGCUGCAUGGCUGUCGUCAGCUCGUGUUGUGAAAUGUUGGGUUAAGUCCCGCAACGAGCGCAACCCUUAUCCUUUGUUGCCAGCGGUUCGGCCGGGAACUCAAAGGAGACUGCCGGUGAUAAACCGGAGGAAGGUGGGGAUGACGUCAAGUCAUCAUGGCCCUUACGGCCAGGGCUACACACGUGCUACAAUGGCGCAUACAAAGAGAAGCGACCUCGCGAGAGCAAGCGGACCUCAUAAAGUGCGUCGUAGUCCGGAUUGGAGUCUGCAACUCGACUCCAUGAAGUCGGAAUCGCUAGUAAUCGUAGAUCAGAAUGCUACGGUGAAUACGUUCCCGGGCCUUGUACACACCGCCCGUCACACCAUGGGAGUGGGUUGCAAAAGAAGUAGGUAGCUUAACCUUCGGGAGGGCGCUUACCACUUUGUGAUUCAUGACUGGGGUGAAGUCGUAACAAGGUAAGCGUAGCGAG
Molecule: ribosomal RNA, 525 nt
Filed under: uncultured bacterium
Lineage: Bacteria
Description: bacterial SSU rRNA
Rfam family: Bacterial small subunit ribosomal RNA
Source: RNAcentral